This is a long non-coding RNA of Oreochromis niloticus (Nile tilapia), 1719 nucleotides long. NCBI's taxonomy places the organism in Eukaryota, Metazoa, Chordata, Actinopteri, Cichliformes, Cichlidae. The record is from Ensembl.
AUGACUAUCCAGAGUUGGGACCAGGAAGCAGAGUUGCAGUCUUACACGCCUCUUUGCAGCUUCUCUCCUCCUCCAACCCCCCCCCCCCAAAAAAAACCCAUCUCCACUGAGACUGUGUCAGCUCCCAAACAGAUAAAAAACAAACUAAAAACCAGCAAUAAACAACUUAAACAUAAAAAAAAAUCACAAAGAAAGAACAAUACAGUAUCCACAUCUGAACCAAAGAGUAAAACAGUGAAAUGUGGAUUAUUAAAUAUUAGGUCUCUCUCCUCCAAGUCUCUUUUAGUACACGACUUAAUAAUUGAUCAACAAAUCGAUUUACUCUGCCUUACAGAAACCUGGUUGCAGCCGGAUGAUUAUGUUAGUUUAAAUGAAUCAACACCCCCGAGUCAUUCUAACUAUCAGAAACCUCGAAGCACAGGCCGAGGGGGCGGUGUGGCAGCAAUUUUUCACACCAGCCUAUUAAUUAACGAAAGACCAAGACAGACUUUUAAUUCAUUUGAAAGCCUGAUGCUUAGCCUCGUCCACCCCAGCUGUAAAACUCAGAAACCAGUCUUACUUGUUAUCAUCUAUCGUCCACCUGGGCCUUACACAGAGUUUCUCUCUGAUUUCUCAGACUUUUUAUCUGAUUUAGUGCUCAGCUCAGAUAAAAUAAUUAUUGUGGGUGAUUUUAACAUCCAUGUAGAUGCUAAAAAUGACAGCCUCAACAUCGCAUUUAAUCUGUUAUUAGACUCAAUUGGCUUCUCUCAAAAUGUAAAAGAACCCACCCACCACUUUAAUCACACUCUAGAUCUUGUUUUAACGUAUGGCAUAGAAACUGAACAUUUAACAGUGUUUCCUGAAAACCCUCUGCUGUCUGAUCAUUUCCUGAUAACAUUUACAUUUACAAUAACUGAUUACACAGCAGUGGAGAGUAGACUUUAUCACAGUAGAUGUCUUUCUGAAAGUGCUGUAACUAAGUUUAAGAAUAUAAUCCACCCACUGUUAUCAUCUUCAAUGCUCUGUACCAACACAGACCAGAGCAGCUACCUGAACGCUACUCCAACAGAGGUUGAUUAUCUUGUUAAUAAUUUUACCUCCUCACUACGUACGACUCUGGAUACUGUAGCUCCUGUGAAAACUAAGGCCUCAAAUCAUAAGUACCUGACUCCGUGGUAUAAUUCUCAAACACGUAGCCUAAAGCAGAUGACUCGUAAGCUGGAGAGGAAAUGGCGUGUCACAAAUUUAGAGGAUCAUCAUUUAGCCUGGAGAAAUAGUUUGCUGCUUUAUAAGAAAGCCCUCUGCAAAGCCAGAACAUCUUACUAUUCAUCACUGAUUGAAGAAAAUAAGAACAACCCCAGGUUUCUCUUCAGCACUGUAGCCAGGCUGACAAAAAGUCAGAGCACUGUUGAGCCAACCAUCCCUUUAACGUUAACUAGUAAUGACUUCAUGAACUUCUUCACAAAUAAAAUUUUUAUCAUUAGAGAAAAAAUUACCAAUAAUCAUCCCACAGAUGUAAUAUCAUCUACAGCUACUUUUAGUACCAUCAAUGUUAAGUUAGACUCUUUUUCUCCAAUUGAUCUUUCUGAGUUAACUUCAAUAAUUACUUCCUCCAAACCAUCAACUUGUCUUUUAGACCCCAUUCCUACAAAACUGCUCAAAGAAGUCCUGCCAUUAAUUAAUUCUUCAAUCUCUAAUAAUCGGCUAUGUACCACAGGCCUUCAAGCUGGCUGUAGUUAA